UUAUGAAUAAUAUAUUUAUGAACGAUUGAAUUACUAGCUUGAAUGACGAAAAUCUACUGAAAUAAUUAUUUUGUAGUAAACCGUAUUUUUAUUAGGGACGUAACUGGUACUUGUAUACUUUUUUUUAACAGGUACGGAAAUGAUACAUUAAUUUUUUUUUUAUGCUGGAUCAAGUCGGUAAAAAAAAAAAAGGUUAUUGAAACGGGACUCGGGAGCCGGAUUUUACGUUUAUAUCAACGAUUUUUUAGCGUAUAGAUACGACUAUUGCUGUAAUAAGAUACUUUAAAUUAGUAU
Cinara cedri is the source of this 294-nucleotide non-coding RNA. NCBI's taxonomy places the organism in Eukaryota, Metazoa, Arthropoda, Insecta, Hemiptera, Aphididae. The record is from the annotation of a GenBank genome assembly.